AUAAGUUACUCAUAGUGCAUAAAAUGGAUGCCUCGACACCAAACUUCGAUGAAGGACGUGACUAGCUGCGAUAAGCUUCGGUGAGCUGCUAAGUAAGCUUUGACCCGGAGAUUUCCGAAUGGGGAAACCCUAUCCAAGUAAUGUUGGAUAAUCCGUAAAAGGAGGAUCACUCAGGGAACUGAAACAUCUAAGUACCUGAGGAAAAUAAAUCAACCGAGAUUCCCAAAGUAGUGGCGAGCGAAAUGGGAUCAGCCUAAACCAUAGGUGCGUGAUAGAUUACAGUCGUUUCACUUAUGGAGUUGCAGGAGCACUGCCCAACUGCUGUAAAAGUUGGCAAUUUAUUGCUUUAUUAGACAAAGGAUUCUGGAAAGGACCACCAUAGAGGGUAAUAGUCCCGUAGUUUAAAAUAGUGUAAUACGUUGAUGUGUUUCCUAAGUAGGAUCGGACACGUGAAAUCCGGUUUGAAUCUGGGAGGACCACCUUCCAAGGCUAAAUACGUUUGGUGAUCAAUAGUGAACUAGUACCGCGAGGGAAAGGUGAAAAGUACCCCGGCGAGGGGGAUGAAAUAGUACCUGAAAUUUUAUGCAUACAAAGUGUGGGAGCCCUUCGGGGUGACCGCGUACUUAUAGGAGAACGGACCAUCGAGUUAGCUGUACGGCGCUUGGUUAAGGGAGUUAUACCCGGAGCCAUAGUGAAAGCGAGCCUUAAUAGGGCGUUUGUGUCGUGCACUAGACCCGAAACCGGGUGAGCUACCCAUGGACAGGUUGAAGGUUAUCUAGCGAUAACUGGAGGACCGAACACACGCAUGUCACAAGAUGCGGUGAUGAUCUGUGGGUAGUGAUGAAAUUUCUAUCGAACCCGGAGAUAGCUGGUUCUCGCCGAUAUAGCUUUAGGGCUAGCCUUAUGUUAAACCUUACGGGGGUAGAGCUCUGUUUAGGCUAGGGGGCGAAAUAAGUCUACCAAACCUAGAUAAACUUCGAAUACCGUGAGGCUCUUUCAUAGGAGUCGGACAGUGACAGCAAAGUGCCAUUGUCGUGAGGGGAACAGCCCAGAUCGUCAUCUAAGGUCCCUAAUAAUAUCUAAGUGGGAAAGGAUGUGAAAUUGCACAAACAACCAGGAGGUUGGCUUAGAAGCAGCCACCCUUUAAAGAAAGCGUAAUAGCUCACUGGUCGAUGUGAUCUCGCGCCGAAAAUCCAACGGGGCUAAGAUAUUAACCGAAGAUGCGAAUUAUACCUAGUAUAAUGGUAGGCGAGCGUUGUUAUUGCUGUGAAGUCGAAUCGUAAGGUUCGGUGGAGCGAUAACAAGUGAGAAUGAUGGUAUGAGUAACGUUUUAAUCUCGAUGAAAAAUCGGGACACCGAAAACCCAAGGUUUCCCAAGCAACGUUAAUCGACUUGGGGUUAGUCGGUCCUAAGGCGAGGCCGAAAGGCGUAGCUGAUGGACAACAGGUUAAUAUUCCUGUACAACCUAAUAAUCGUCCAAGCAAUACUUUUCAUAAUUUGGGAGGUUUGAUUGAAACUUCGGUUUCUUGAUAACCAAACAAUGCAUGGGAGGUGGCGCUAGCUCAGGGGUAACACAUCAGGAUAAUUGGAGCGUGUUAAUGAAUUCACGUACAAGUAAUUAGUUUAUGCUUAAGUAGGUAAAUCCGCUUAGGUUCGCGAGUUACUAUGUAAAAUGCUUCCCGCGAGGGGAGAGAUUCCAAUGAUUUCAGGUGUCGAGAAAAACCUCGGUAGCGAGAGGAUUAGGUUACCGUACCGCAAACCAACGCUGGUGGGUGAGUUGAGAAUACUAAGGUGAUCGGGAUAACUUGUGCUAAGGAACUCGGCAAAACAACGGGCGUAACUUCGGGAUAAGCCCUGCCGUAUACAUACUUUUAUAGUCUUGUAUUCGGCCUCAGUAAAAGAUUCCACGCAACUGUUUACCAAAAACACAGGUCUCUGCAAAUCCGUAAGGAUAAGUAUAGGGGCUGACGCCUGCCCAGUGCCAGAAGGUCACGAGGAGGGGUGAGAGCUCUGAAUCUAAGCCCUGGUGAACGGCGGCCGUAACUAUAACGGUCCUAAGGUAGCGAAAUUCCUUGUCAGGUAAAUUCUGACCCGCACGAAUGGCGUAAUGGUGUGGAAACUGUCUCGGCACAAGACCCGGUGAAAUUGCAUUACUGGUAAAAAUGCCAGUUAAUCAUGGUAGGGCGAAAAGACCCCGUGCAGCUUUACUACAGCUUGACAUUGAGUCGAGGUAUAUCAUGCGCAGGAUAGAUGGGAGGCUUUGAAGUUUGGACUUUGGUCCAGGUGGAGCCAUCCUUGAGAUACCAUCCUUGAUAUAUUUUGCCUCUAACGAAUAGUGUUAAUCCGCUAUUCGGACAGUGUUUGGUGGGUAGUUUGACUGGGGCGGUUGCCUCCUAAAGAGUAACGGAGGCGUGCAAAGGUUCUCUAGGUCUGGAUGGAAAUCAGACUGGUCGUGUAAUCGCAUAAGAGAGCUUAACUGUGAGACUUACAAGUCGAACAGGUGCGAAAGCAGGUGAUAGUGAUCCGAUAUCUUCCACGUGGGUGGGAUAUCGCUCAUCGGACAAAAGUUACGCCGGGGAUAACAGGCUUAUCGCGCCCAAGAGUUCAUAUCGACGGCGCGGUUUGGCACCUCGAUGUCGGCUCGUCGCAUCCUGGGGGUGGAGCAUCUCCCAAGGGUUUGGCUGUUCGCCAAUUAAAGCGGUACGCGAGCUGGGUUCAGACCGUCGUGAGACAGGUCGGCCUCUACCCUCCAUGAUCGUAGGAAAUUUGAGAGAAGCUGUCCCUAGUACGAGAGGACCGGGAUGGACGAACCUCUAGUGUAUCUGUUGUCGUGUCAACGGCAUUGCAGAGUAGCUAUGUUCGGAAGGGAUAACCGCUGAAAGCAUCUAAGUGGGAAGCCCCGCUCAAGAUAAGAUUUCCCCAUUAGCCUCCAGGGAGACUACCUGGUUGAUAGGCUUCAGGUGUAAGUGCAGUGAUGUGCUCAGCCGAGAAGUACUAAUAGGCAAUCGACUUAUUUUA
This 3018-nucleotide ribosomal RNA is filed under the name Candidatus Peregrinibacteria bacterium. Its description in RNAcentral is "23S ribosomal RNA". It matches the Rfam family "Bacterial large subunit ribosomal RNA". The record is from RNAcentral. Lineage: Bacteria; Candidatus Peregrinibacteriota.